Mercenaria mercenaria is the source of this 8001-nucleotide long non-coding RNA. RefSeq lists it as uncharacterized. The record is from RefSeq and is a predicted model, not a curated record. Lineage: Eukaryota; Metazoa; Mollusca; Bivalvia; Venerida; Veneridae. The transcript has 9 exons.
UUCAUUUGUAGUAUUUAAAGUGAAGAAAGAACAUAAAAAUUUUAAUCAUUGGAAUUGAUACUUUUUGUGGGGGUGGGAAUCUGUGUCCUUUGUAGUCCAGUUCCUUCCCAUCAGUCCUAACCCCAUUUCAUCUUCAUUCCUGAUUUGUAAUCCAGAUAUGAAUGUACAAAUGAUAUAUAUCAUAUUUGAAUUAAAAUAUUAGUAUAGAGCAUGGCCACAAAAUAAGCAGAGAAAUGUGUAUAGAUGAAUUUAAUAUGAAAUAUGUUAGUAUGAAAAUGUGUCUUAUGCAUGCAAUUGACAUAUACAAUAGUAACACUUUAUAAGAAUUGAUAAAUAUAUGUAUAUGAUAGAAAAGGUUGAAAACAGUUUUUGGAAACGUUUAUAAUAUUGUUAUGGAUUCAGUCUAUUAUCUUAAAUGGAAUAAUUAUUGAAUCUGGAACCACUCUUGUGUAAAGUAUGGGAACAAAAUAAGCAGAGAAUGAAUUUGUAUAAAUGAAUUCAAUAUGCAAUAAUUGUUCAUGUGAAAAUAUGUCUUAUUAAUGCAAUGAACAUUUGCUAUAGUUAAACUGCAUUAGAAGUGGUAAAGUACAUUUCUCUGUAAAAAUGUUUAUAUGAUAGAAAAGGUCAAUAGACUGCCAAUGACAACUGACUUUUUGUCCCGUUCAUAUGUAUAGUCAGCGAUUGAUUGGACUUUAUUAUGAAGCAGAAAAGGAAUAUAAAAGUGCAAUAGAAAGGAUUGAAUAUGAAGCAAGGAAAGACCAUCUAAAUGUUAUAAAAAGUGACAUAAUUAAAAAUAUUAAUUAUUAGAAUUGAUACUUUUGUGGGGGUGGGAAUCACUGUCCUGUCUAUACCAUUUAUUCCGAUUCAUCCUAUCCAAUUCCAACUUGACCCUGCCCAUCCCAUUUCUGAUUGGUUACCCAGGUAUGAUUGUAUAAAUAAUACAUAAUAUAGCAUACUUGAAUUAAAAUAUUAAUGUGGAGCACGGCCAAAAAAUAAACAGAGAAAAGAUGUGUAUAAAUCAAUUUAAUAUGAAAUUUGUUAGUGUGAAAUCAUGUCUUAUUCAUCCAAUUGACACUUUCUAUAUUCACACGUUAUAUGAAGUGUUAAUAGUACACUUCUUUAUAAGUAGAUGUAUGUAUAUGAUAGAAAAGGUUGAAAAUAUGAAUUUUUCGAGACAUUCUUAAUAUUAUUAUAAAUAGUUUAUUAUCUGAAGUGGAAUAAUUAUUAAAUCUUGAACCACACUUGUACUGAGUUUUCAGAAGUUACACUCCAACAAUAUUUUGAAAAGUCUGGAAAAAGAAUUGUUUGAAAGGUAAUAUGUUAUUCUACUUGGCACAUAUAUGCAGAAUUACAGGAGUAAUUUAUAUUUCUUGUUGCCAUGCUUAUUUACAGUACUUAUACCAGUCCAUUUUUUUCAGUUUGAGCUGCAAGUUGAAGCAGGAAAAUGGUGUCAAGUGUCAAGGCAAGCCAAAGAAGCAGUACUGGAUUUUCCCUGGAAAAGUAUGAAGAAUGUCUGUGAAAAAAGUGACUGUGUUCAUUUGUAGUAUUUAAAGUGAAGAAAGAACAUAAAAAUUUUAAUCAUUGGAAUUGAUACUUUUUGUGGGGGUGGGAAUCUGUGUCCUUUGUAGUCCAGUUCCUUCCCAUCAGUCCUAACCCCAUUUCAUCUUGACCUGGCCCAUCCCAUUCCUGAUUUGUAAUCCAGAUAUGAAUGUACAAAUAAUAUAUAUCAUAUUUGAAUUAAAAUAUUAAUAUAGAGCAUGGCCACAAAAUAAGCAGAGAGAUGUGUAUAGGUGAUUUUAAUAUGAAAUAAAUUAGUAUGAAAAUGUGUCUUAUGCAUGCAAUUGACACAUACAAUAGUAACACUUUAUAAGAAUUGAUAAAAGUACACUUCUUUGUAAGUAAAUAUAUGUAUAUGAUAGAAAAGGUCGAAAACAUGAGUUUUUGGAGACGUUUAUAAUAUUGUUAUGGAUUCAGUCUAUUAUCUUAUAUGGAAUAAUUAUUGAAUCUGGAACCACUCUUGUGUAGAGUAUAGGAACAAAAUAAGCAGAGAAUGGAUUUGUAUAAAUGAAUUCCAUAUGAAAUAAUUGUUCAUGUGAAAAUAUGUCUUAUUAAUGCAAUGAACAUUUGCUAUAGUUAAACUUGAUUAGAAGUGGUAAAAGUACAUUUCUUUGUAAAAAUGUAUAUAUGAUAGAAAAGGUCAAUAGACUGCCAAUGACAACUGACUUUAUGUCCUGCUCAUAUGUAUAGUCAGCGAUUGAUUGGACUUUAUUAUGAAGCAGAAAAAGAAUAUAAAAGUGCAAUAGAAAGGAUUUAAUAUGAAGCAAGGAAAGAUCAUCUAAAUGUUAUAAAAAGUGACAUAAUUAAAAAUGUUAAUUAUUGGAAUUGAUACUUUUUUUGGGGGUGGGAAUCACUGUCCUGUCUAUCCCAGAUCCUUCCAAUUCAUCCUUUCUGAUUCCAUCCUGACCCUGCCCAUCCCAUUCCUGAUUGAUUGUCCUGAUAUGUUCAUACAAAUAAUAUAUAAUAUAACAUACCUGAAUGAAAAUAUUAAUGUAGAACAUAGUUGCAUUAAAAGCAGAGAAAAGAUGUGAAUAGAUAAAUUUGAUAUGAAAUAUUUUUGUGUGAAAAUAUGUCAUAUUCAUGUAGUUGACACUUUUUGACACUUUCUAUAGUCACACUUUAUAAGAAGUGGUAAAAGUAUACUUCUGUAUAAUGUAUAUAUGAUGUUUAUAUAGUGUUUAGAGUGAAGAAAGAACAUAAAAUGUUAAUAAUUGAAAUUGAAUUUGUAGGGGAUGGGAACAUUGUCCAGUCUAUUCCAGUUCCUUCCCAUUCAUGCCUAUCCUAGCCAACCUGACCUGGUCCAUCCCAUUUCUGAUGGGUAACUCAUGUAUGAUAGUACAAAUAAUAUAUAAUAUAGCAUAUUAGAAUUAAAAUAUUAAUGUUGAGCAUGGCCCAAAUAAAGGAAGAGAAAAUAUGUGUAUAAAUAGAAUAAUUAUGAAUAUGUUUUAUUCGUGCAAUUGACACUAUGGUAACACUUUAUAAGAAGUGGUAAAAGUACACUUCUUUAUAAGUAGAUAUAUAUUUGAUAGAAAAGGUUAAAAACAUUUGUUUUUCGAGCUGUUCAUAAUAUUAUUAUGGAAACAGUCUAUUACCUAAAGACAGAAAGACAAAUGAUUAUUAAAUCUGGAACCACACUUGCAUGAGCAAAUGAAGGUUCAUGUACAGUUGUUGAAAGUUACAUUCUUGCUGUAUUUUGAGAAGUAUGGAAAAAGAAUUGUUUGAUAGGUAAAAUAGAUUUUGUGUUUCAGUCAUAUUUGCUGAAUUUGCUGACCAUUGUUGAAGCUGUGGAUUUUCCCUGGAAAAGAAUGAAGAAUGUUUUCAAGAAGAGACUGUAUUCAUUUGUAGUGUUUGAAGUGACGAAAGAAUAACAAAUGGGUACUUACUGGAAUUUAUAUUUUUUGUGGAGUUGGGAAUCUCUGUCCUGUCUAUUCCUGUUCCUCCUCAUUCUGUCUUGUCCCAUCCUGACCUGGCCCAUCCAUUCCUGAUUGAUAAUCUAGAAGUGUUUGUAAAAAGAACAUGUUGCAUAUUUGAAUGGAAUUGUAUAUUGAAGUAGUGUUAUAGAAUAUGGCUACAAAAUAAGCUGAAAAAAAGACAAUGUAUAUAAAAUAUUAAUACGAAAUAUGUUAGUGUGAAAAUGUGUUUUAUUUAUGCAGUUGAUACUUAGUUUAGUUUAUUAUUGUAUAAAAAUAAAGUGUGUUUCAGCAAAGUAUAAUUUAUAAGUCUGUACGAGUUUUGUCAAACAUAUUAUGGAUACAGUUAUACAGUAUUAUACAGGAUAUAAGAUAGAAUAAAUAUUAAACCUGGAAUGACAUUUGUAGCAAUAUGUAACGGAAAAACUUGGUCAAUUGGGUAUAUAGACAUUCUGGAUGUAACAACAUGACAAGUCUCUUACAUUAUACUGUUUCUAGAGACAGAAGACAGAAGACAAAAGAUGCUGGAAAUGUAAGUAGAGGCUACAAGACUGAUUUCCAAACCAAAUGAUAGGCACUGGUAUAUAUUGUUGUUUAUAAUGAUACUUGUAGUGUUGUUUAUAAAAGAAUUCAUUAAUAUGUUAACCUGUUCCACACAGGUAAAUGUCAACUUCUCCACUCAAAUUAAAAGUGGAGGAUGUUUGAUCUAGACUUUAGCUUAAGAGGAUUUAACUAAUGUAUUCCAUGUAACUUUUACCAUGAUUUUAGAUGCCUAAGUUCCAAAACAUUAACACUUAUUAGGAGAAACACCCAUGGAUGAAGAAUCAGAAGGCUUAAUCAACCGAUGGUGAAAAUUGUCACAUGCUGCAAGAAAAAUGACAGCUGGAAAGAUAUAAUCCCUCACACCACCAGCACCAACUCGGACAGAUGGUCUUUCAACAUAUAGUAGAUUCACGGUGAUACAUCGUAGAGCAGAUAUAGCUGGUCAACUUAUACAAGAAUGUUGAGACAUGGAUAGUUGGUUUCCUGCGAAGAAGAAUGUAUAAUGUAACACCUGCAGCCAGAGAGUUUGGAGAAAGGGAUCAGCUCAAAGAACAUUGGAGGGGUCUGAUGACAAUAUUGAUAUAGGUUAUGAAGGGUGAGCUACCUCCUGAUGAAGCACUGAAGGCUAUAACAAUACUUGAAGGCAAGCUCUUUACACUGAAGGCUGUAACAAUACUUGAAGGCAAGCUCUUUACACUGAAGGCUAUAACUAUACUUGAAGGCAAGCUCUUUACACUGAAGGCUGUAACAAUACUUGAAGGCAAGCUCUUUACACUGAAGGCUGUAACAAUACUUGAAGGCAAGCUCUUUACACUGAAGGCUAUAACAAUACUUGAAGGCAACUCUUUACACUGAAGGAAGAGAGAGACAGUGUUGCCAAGGCAAAAGACGGCUCUUGAGUUGACAGAACCUGAUCCGACAGAGCAGUGACGGUCUGUUGAAUUAGAUGAAGGAAUUACCUACUGGACUGAAUGCCGGUGCUUCAUAUGAACAUGUUAAAUGAUUGCAUCAAGGAUUUACAAAGGUGAUCUACAACAAUUGGUUCUAAAACUGCCAAUGAACUUCGGUAGAAGAGCUGGAGGGGAAUGGAGUGAGCAGAUUGCAGUACAGUCAAACCUGUCUAUAAAGACCACCCUUGGGAGAGCCAGAAUGUGGUCUUUAUUGGGAGGUGGUCUUUAUUCACAGGUUAAAAUAUACUGUAAAUGUUAAAGUGGGAAACAAAACAUGUCUUCUUUAGAGGGAGGUGGUCUCUGUUCAGAGGUGGUCUUUAACACCGGUUUGACUGUAUACACAUCAGAGGGAGUGGAACAGGCAGAUUUCAAUACAUACUACAUCAGUGGGAAAAGCACAAUGAAGUUCAGCUGUUUCCAGCUUGAAACACAUGAGGUUGAAGUUGCAAGGAGAGACUGAUGGAAAAUGACAGUGACUGGACUGAGACAGUGAUGAUGGUGAAGAACUGUAGAAAAGUUUGGAAAACUUUUAAUAGCUAGCAGUCAUCGAUUCCAGUAUUCCAGCCAAUGUAUCCCUCUCGUAGCCCACAAGAAGCAAUACCAGGAAAUAUGUGACAUUCAUCAGCCAGGUAGUCAUUUACUCCAAGUGGCAAGGUUAGAUACAGCCUGACACCAAAAUACCCAUUGGAGUGGAAUGUUUUGUGCUGUGGACACUGCAGAAUCGUGUAUUUGACAGUUUAACUUGCAUUGGCCAAAAAGGAUGUUGAUAUUGAUGCACUUCCUCGAAGCAACUUCAGUCCUACAGAACUAAGGGGAGGCAACAGUUAUCACUAUUGACCUAGAAACCAUUGACCUAAUUCAAUAUUGGAAUAUGCCACAUGUCACACAAAGACGCAUACCACAACAAAUCACUGUAGCACAGAUAUCUUUGUCACACCUAAAAAGGAAAUUUCACCAGAGGCACAAAGAUCACCAGGAUCGCAUGGAAUAUUCAGACACGAUGACAAUAAAAAACACAAUAGUCCAACACAUCUGUACCUGGAAUUUUUAAGACUGUAGAGAAAUUGUGUACUUGGCUUGAAAAGACCCUUAAGUGAUUUUGGUAGCCCGUUAUGGAAGACAAUUUGAUUUUCCAGUUCUUGUCUCAGCUCUACUGUGCACAAAAAUAACUAGGACAUUAUUCAGCUGAGUUUCUUCUGAAAAGUAUUCUUUUACCAGUGUUCAAGAAACUGUACCCUAAAUAGUCAUACCUGCUAUGACACUACUUGGUAUCCGUUACAAUGUCUAUAACCGACAGACAGAUAAAUUUAUUUUGAAAAACUGGGAAGGCCUGCCAAGGGUUUUCAUAUGUUAAAGAAAAAUUUCAAGCAACGACGUAUACUCAUGAUAAAUUUGGUGCGAUAAUGUUCAUUAUCUUAAGUAAAAAAUGACAAUUGUAAUUGUAAAUUCGAAUUGUGUUAUUUUACUCUAUAUUUAAGAAAAUUAAUAUAUUCAAACUUGUAAUUUUUUUCAUUUGUUGAAAUGUUAUAUUAUAGCUUUAAGCCUUAGUGCUCUCUUUUAACAAUCUGCCUAAAGAAACACUUUAGUUGUUCUUGUUUAUUAUUUAGCCAUUUCCUUGAUUAAAAAUACACAACAAACUUCUAGCUCAAGACUUUCCAAGGUUGACAAGUUAUUACUUUCUUUGAUUUUGCUUAAGUUUGUUAAUUAUUGUUAAAUACUUUUGUUCAAAAUUUAAUAAGGUGUAAAACCUUUAAAUGAUAUCCUUAAGCAACAGAUGUUAUGUUUUAAUAGUAAAGUAAGGAGAAGAAAACCUUUACUGUAAGCUAAUGUAGCUUUCUGUCCAAUGCCUGAAACAUUUUUUGUAAAUAUUUCAUGACUUUCUGAAUAAAAAUGUAUAUAAACCCCAAACUUCUAAGGAGCAAGAAGACAAAAUUUCAUUUCAACUCAUGUAUAAAAUUAACUUUGUGAUAUUUUUCUUAGUGAUAAGUUUUUUCAGUGAUAACUUGACAUUUAAUUUAUAUCUGUAUAGAUUUUUGUACAGUUAAUUCAGGUGUAUACAAGACAAUAUUUAUAAAGAUUUUUUUAUGUUUUAAGCUACCUAAUUAUUUAUAUUAGAGAAAACUGUUAAAUUUUAAUUUCUUUAUAAGUGUAUGUGUAAGUCCUAUUUCACUAUACAGUGCAACCUCUGAAGAGCAACACCCUUUGGGAGAUACAAAUAUUGACUGUUGUGUAGAGGUUGUUGUUCUUGAGAGGUAAAUUUGAUAAUAUAUUUCAGCUUAGGGAAAUUUUGAUGUUGUUAUAGAGGUUUUUGCUCUGAGGACCGCUCUGAAGAGGUUGUACAAUACUUAUAUAUUAUUGAGAGCUAAUAGACUCCAUUGGAAAUAAGUGAAAUUGUUACUUUCAAGGUUUAUCCCAGGCAGAAAGAUCAUCAUUUUUUCCUGAUAUUUAUGUAUUAGCUUGAUUACUCUUGUAAAGUACAAACAUAUAAGGGUUUACUGCAUAUUUAUUAAUUCUAAUAUUUUUCAUUUCUGUACCACUUUGUAUUUCUGUUAUAAUUGGAUCUUAUAUUUGAAUAAAAUUGAAUUGAAUUGAACUGAACUGAAUUUUAAACUGAACUGAAUUCUAAACUGGAACCAAACUGAACUGAACUGAGUUUGAAACAGAAACUGAACUGAAUUUUGGACUGUUACUGAAUGAACUGAAUUCUGAACUGGAACUAAACUGAACUGAACUGAAUUUAAAACAGAAACUGAACUGAAUUUUAAACUGAAACUGAACUGAACUGAAUAUAGCUGGGUAAAAAUCUACAGUACAGCUUGCAUUAAGAGACCACCAAAGGGAAGGAAAAAACAUGUUCUCUUUAUGCAUCAUAGUUUGUUCUUUGAUAACAUAAAAAAAGGAACUGAAAAACUGGUCUCUUAAUGCAAGAAGCCUCUAAAUCAAAUGUACUUGAUGAAACUUAUUAUGCUUUUGUGCUGCAAAUUUUGUAAUGUAGUUUUGUUGUGUCUAUGAUGAUUUCUCUAAAUAAACUUUAAACAUUA